Molecule: ribosomal RNA, 253 nt
Filed under: uncultured bacterium
Lineage: Bacteria
Description: partial 16S ribosomal RNA
Rfam family: Bacterial small subunit ribosomal RNA
Source: RNAcentral
UACGUAGGGAGCAAGCGUUGUCCGGAAUUACUGGGUGUAAAGGGUGCGUAGGCGGCUAUGCAAGUCAGGCGUGAAAUAUACAGGCUUAACCUGUAGACUGCGUUUGAAACUGUGUGGCUUGAGUGAAGUAGAGGUAAGUGGAAUUCCCGGUGUAGCGGUGAAAUGCGUAGAGAUCGGGAGGAACACCAGUGGCGAAGGCGACUUACUGGGCUUUAACUGACGCUGAAGCACGAAAGCAUGGGUAGCAAACAGG